Molecule: ribosomal RNA, 441 nt
Filed under: uncultured bacterium
Lineage: Bacteria
Description: bacterial SSU rRNA
Rfam family: Bacterial small subunit ribosomal RNA
Source: RNAcentral
AACGCGAAGAACCUUACCUGCGGCUAGAAUGCCUCUGACAACUCCAGAGAUGGAGCCUCUUAGGGAAACCUAGGCAUGAGUGCAAGGUGCUGCAUGGCUGUCGUCAGCUCGUGUCGUGAGAUGUUGGGUUAAGUCCCGCAACGAGCGCAACCCUUAUCUUUAGUUGCUAGCGGUUCGGCCGAGCACUCUAGAGAGACUGCCGUUGACAAAACGGAGGAAGGUGGGGAUGACGUCAAGUCCUCAUGGCCUUUAUGUCCAGGGCUACACACGUGCUACAAUGGCCGGUACAAAGCGCUGCAAACUCGCAAGAGGGAGCCAAUCGCAAAAAGCCGGUCUCAGUUCGGAUUGGAGUCUGCAACUCGACUCCAUGAAGCUGGAAUCGCUAGUACUCGCAGAUCAGCACGCUGCGGUGAAUACGUUCCCCGGGUCUUGUACACACCG